This 1139-nucleotide long non-coding RNA is filed under the name Dromaius novaehollandiae (emu). Its description in RNAcentral is "lncRNA (ENSDNVG00000013922.1)". Lineage: Eukaryota; Metazoa; Chordata; Aves; Casuariiformes; Dromaiidae. The record is from RNAcentral.
GAAGUUUUGACCACUCUGGUUUGAGAAGGCAAGAAUUUACUUUUCCAGAUAAAGAACAGUAAAGGGGCCUUGCGUUGUCCUGUGGAGGACAAUGAACUACUGGCCGCCAAAUGAUGGGAGAGCAAUGUUUGAUGCUGAGAAGGCCUUGCUGGAAAUGCCCGCUGAGAGAAAAUGCUCGGCAAAGCAGCCGAGAGUGUUUCAGUGUGUUAUGGUUCAUGCUGGCACGGAAAACAUCAGAUUGGAGAGAGACCUGUGCUAAGACUGGGAGCGCCUGGAACACCGAAACUGCAGCGGGCAACGCCAUAUCCGUGUACUGACUGGAAGAGCUACUGGCCCUGCUGAGAUGCAUUAAGCAUGUAGCAAGAAGAAAGAAGAGAUGUGCACUGAUGGUACAAGGACUCGUUCAGUGCACAUUUGACAAGACUGGAUUCAGUGAGAGAGGCUGUCUUCACAGAUGAAUUAACCAUGCAUGCCUGUCCAGUGCAGCAAACCUUUCUUCUAAUCCCCRCAUGACUGCGGUGUUAAAUACAGAAUAUCUGAUGAUAUAAGACAAGAGUCUGCCUUCAGAGUCUAGGUUUUGAGUCUACCAAACUCAUUCCCAUUUUUUAAACUACCAUAAACUUGAAUGAGGUGAUGGGAAUACAGAGGAAAGGAAGCCGUGACCUGACACUACCCUGCACGGCUGGAUUUUUGGGGUGGGAACUGCAUGCUCUGGCUCUUAAGACAUAUUGGAGUGGCUGCAUUCCCUUAGAGCUCCCAGAACCAAUACUCUGCGCAUACACAGAUUGCUUGGUUAACACUCUUUUCUGGUACUCACAGUAACUACUUCAAUACAGCAUUACCCAGCAGCUUUCUGAGAAGUCGUUUACUUGUAAAAAUCCAAUGAACAUCUGAUGGGACAUGGCAAUUUCUUGUGUCUGUCAGUCUUAUUCAGUUGUCAAUGCACAGCAUGUUGCAGAAGCAUUUCCAAUAGUGGGAAGUAAAGUCCUGUUAAUCUCUGUAAAACCCAGAAAUAGUUCCUCAAUCAUCUCAAUGUAAUGGGUGAUUCUCCUGCUAAGAUAGCAGUGUCUACAAAUUUAAGGUAGCUGUGAAUUCAACAGAAUACUAACUGAGAUACAGAGGCUUUCACGGCACGAUCU